CAUAAGCUUGGUCCUGACUUUAUUAUCAACUUUAACCUAAAUUAUACAUGCAAGUAUCCGCACCCCUGUGAGAAUGCCCUCAAUUCCCCUUCCGAAAGAGAGGAGCAGGUAUCAGGCACACCUAAUUAGCCCAAGACACCUUGCUAUGCCACACCCCCAAGGGAGUCAGCAGUAAUAAAUAUUAAGCUAUGAGCGAAAACUCGACUUAGUUAGGGUUAAAAGGGUCGGUAAAACUCGUGCCAGCCACCGCGGUUAUACGAGAGACCCUAGUUGAUUAUCACGGCGUAAAAAGUGGUUAAGAGACAUUAUAUAUAUAUUAAAGUCGAAGGUCUUCCAGGCCGUCAUAAACAUCAUGAAGACAUUAAGGCCAAACACGAAAGUAACUUUAUAUAGCUGACGCCACGAAACCUAAGAAACAAACUGGGAUUAGAUACCCCACUAUGCUUAGCUGUAAACUCAGAUGUAAUAAUUACAACUAUAUCCGCCAGGGUACUACAAGCGCUAGCUUAAAACCCAAAGGACUUGACGGUGUCCCAGACCCACCUAGAGGAGCCUGUUCUAGAACUGAUAACCCCCGUUAAACCUCACCAUCUCUUGUUUAUACCGCCUAUAUACCGCCGUCGCAAGCUCACCCUGUGAAGGAUUAAUAGUAAGCAAAAGGAGUAAAUCCCAAAACGUCAGGUCGAGGUGUAGCUUAUGAAAUGGAAAGAAAUGGGCUACAUUUUCUACUCAGAAAAUUACGAAUGGUAUAAUGAAAUAAUACCUGAAGGUGGAUUUAGUAGUAAAAAAUAAAUAGAGCGUACUUUUGAAUUAGGCUCUGAGACGCGUACACACCGCCCGUCACCCUCCACAAUACCCAAUAAAUUUAUAUAAAUAAUUCCACUACCUGGUAUUUACUGAGGAGGCAAGUCGUAACAUGGUAAGUGUACCGGAAGGUGCACUUGAAUAUAC
This 951-nucleotide non-coding RNA is filed under the name Crenuchus spilurus (sailfin tetra). RNAcentral describes it as "12S rRNA". It matches the Rfam family "Bacterial small subunit ribosomal RNA". Lineage: Eukaryota; Metazoa; Chordata; Actinopteri; Characiformes; Crenuchidae. The record is from RNAcentral.